RNAcentral lists this ribosomal RNA (478 nucleotides) under uncultured bacterium. RNAcentral describes it as "partial 16S ribosomal RNA". It matches the Rfam family "Bacterial small subunit ribosomal RNA", at positions 28 to 507 of the family's 1533-position model. The record is from RNAcentral.
GAUGAACGCUGGCGGCGUGCUUAACACAUGCAAGUCGAGCGGGAAAUCUUUCAUUGAGACUUCGGUGGAUUUGAUUUAUUUCUAGUGGCGGACGGGUGAGUAACGCGUGGGUAACCUGCCUUAUACAGGGGGAUAACAGUCAGAAAUGGCUGCUAAUACCGCAUAAGCGCACAGAGCUGCAUGGCUCAGUGUGAAAAACUCCGGUGGUAUAAGAUGGACCCGCGUUGGAUUAGCUAGUUGGUGGGGUAACGGCCCACCAAGGCGACGAUCCAUAGCCGGCCUGAGAGGGUGAACGGCCACAUUGGGACUGAGACACGGCCCAGACUCCUACGGGAGGCAGCAGUGGGGAAUAUUGCACAAUGGGGGAAACCCUGAUGCAGCGACGCCGCGUGAAGGAAGAAGUAUCUCGGUAUGUAAACUUCUAUCAGCAGGGAAGAUAGUGACGGUACCUGACUAAGAAGCCCCGGCUAACUACGUG